AGAGUUUGAUCCUGGCUCAGGAUGAACGCUGGCGGCGUGCCUAAUACAUGCAAGUCGAGCGAACGGACGAGAAGCUUGCUUCUCUGAUGUUAGCGGCGGACGGGUGAGUAACACGUGGAUAACCUACCUAUAAGACUGGGAUAACUUCGGGAAACCGGAGCUAAUACCGGAUAAUAUUUUGAACCGCAUGGUUCAAAAGUGAAAGACGGUCUUGCUGUCACUUAUAGAUGGAUCCGCGCUGCAUUAGCUAGUUGGUAAGGUAACGGCUUACCAAGGCAACGAUGCAUAGCCGACCUGAGAGGGUGAUCGGCCACACUGGAACUGAGACACGGUCCAGACUCCUACGGGAGGCAGCAGUAGGGAAUCUUCCGCAAUGGGCGAAAGCCUGACGGAGCAACGCCGCGUGAGUGAUGAAGGUCUUCGGAUCGUAAAACUCUGUUAUUAGGGAAGAACAUAUGUGUAAGUAACUGUGCACAUCUUGACGGUACCUAAUCAGAAAGCCACGGCUAACUACGUGCCAGCAGCCGCGGUAAUACGUAGGUGGCAAGCGUUAUCCGGAAUUAUUGGGCGUAAAGCGCGCGUAGGCGGUUUUUUAAGUCUGAUGUGAAAGCCCACGGCUCAACCGUGGAGGGUCAUUGGAAACUGGAAAACUUGAGUGCAGAAGAGGAAAGUGGAAUUCCAUGUGUAGCGGUGAAAUGCGCAGAGAUAUGGAGGAACACCAGUGGCGAAGGCGACUUUCUGGUCUGUAACUGACGCUGAUGUGCGAAAGCGUGGGGGUCAAACAGGAUUAGAUACCCUGGUAGUCCACGCCGUAAACGAUGAGUGCUAAGUGUUAGGGGGUUUCCGCCCCUUAGUGCUGCAGCUAACGCAUU
Molecule: ribosomal RNA, 872 nt
Filed under: Staphylococcus aureus M0710
Lineage: Bacteria; Bacillati; Bacillota; Bacilli; Caryophanales; Staphylococcaceae
Description: bacterial SSU rRNA
Rfam family: Bacterial small subunit ribosomal RNA
Source: RNAcentral